UCGUUUUUGUGUUAUUUGCUGGAAGUUACAUCCAAAGCCAGUGAUUGUCAAACAGAACGUACAUUAAUGGCAGCUUAUCACUCCACAAUGUUGAGCCGGCUUUCCAGGGCUGCUGCAUUACUUUCCGGCUCGCCACAGUU
Molecule: small nucleolar RNA, 140 nt
Organism: Drosophila sechellia
Lineage: Eukaryota; Metazoa; Arthropoda; Insecta; Diptera; Drosophilidae
Rfam family: Small nucleolar RNA psi18S-1377
About the family: psi18S-1377 is a member of the H/ACA class of snoRNA. This family is responsible for guiding the modification of uridines 1377 and 1279 to pseudouridine in Drosophila 18S rRNA.
Source: Rfam